Molecule: ribosomal RNA, 207 nt
Filed under: uncultured bacterium
Lineage: Bacteria
Description: partial 16S ribosomal RNA
Rfam family: Bacterial small subunit ribosomal RNA
Source: RNAcentral
AGCGCAGGCGGGAGAACAAGUUGGAAGUGAAAUCCAUGGGCUCAACCCAUGAACUGCUUUCAAAACUGUUUUUCUUGAGUAGUGCAGAGGUAGGCGGAAUUCCCGGUGUAGCGGUGGAAUGCGUAGAUAUCGGGAGGAACACCAGUGGCGAAGGCGGCCUACUGGGCACCAACUGACGCUGAGGCUCGAAAGUAUGGGUAGCAAACA